CCUACGGGUGGCAGCAGUGGGGAAUAUUGCACAAUGGGCGCAAGCCUGAUGCAUCCAUGCCGCGUGUGUGAAGAAGGCCUUCGGGUUGUAAAGCACUUUCAGCGGGGAGGAAGGCGGUGAGGUUAAUAACCUCAUCGAUUGACGUUACCCGCAGAAGAAGCACCGGCUAACUCCGUGCCAGCAGCCGCGGUAAUACGGAGGGUGCAAGCGUUAAUCGGAAUUACUGGGCGUAAAGCGCACGCAGGCGGUCUGUCAAGUCGGAUGUGAAAUCCCCGGGCUCAACCUGGGAACUGCAUUCGAAACUGGCAGGCUAGAGUCUUGUAGAGGGGGGUAGAAUUCCAGGUGUAGCGGUGAAAUGCGUAGAGAUCUGGAGGAAUACCGGUGGCGAAGGCGGCCCCCUGGACAAAGACUGACGCUCAGGUGCGAAAGCGUGGGGAGCAAACAGGAUUAGAUACCCUAGUAGUC
Molecule: ribosomal RNA, 465 nt
Filed under: uncultured Klebsiella sp.
Lineage: Bacteria; Pseudomonadati; Pseudomonadota; Gammaproteobacteria; Enterobacterales; Enterobacteriaceae
Description: bacterial SSU rRNA
Rfam family: Bacterial small subunit ribosomal RNA
Source: RNAcentral